RNAcentral lists this ribosomal RNA (1450 nucleotides) under uncultured Bordetella sp. Its description in RNAcentral is "partial 16S-23S ribosomal RNA intergenic spacer". It matches the Rfam family "Bacterial small subunit ribosomal RNA". The record is from RNAcentral. Lineage: Bacteria; Pseudomonadati; Pseudomonadota; Betaproteobacteria; Burkholderiales; Alcaligenaceae.
AGUUUGAUUAUGGCUCAGAUUGAACGCUGGCGGAUGUUUACACAUGCAAGUCGAACGGCAGCACGGACUUCGGUCUGGUGGCGAGUGGCGAACGGGUGAGUAAUGUAUCGGAACGUGCCUAGUAGCGGGGAUAACUACGCGAAAGGUAGCUAAUACCGCAUACGCCCUUCGGGGGAAAGCGGGGACUAAGCCUCGCACUAUUAGAGCGGCCGAUAUCGGAUUAGCUAGUUGGUGGGGUAACGGCUCACCACAAGACGAUCCGUAGCUGGUUUGAGAGGACGACCAGCCACACUGGGACCGAGACACGGCCCAGACUCCUACGGGAGGCAGCAGUGGGGAAUUUUUGGAUAGAUGGGGGAAACCCUGAUCCAGCCAUCCCGCGUGUGCGAUGAAGGCUCUCGUCAGGUAAGCACUUUUGCAGGAGAAACGGCACGGGAUAAUACCCCAGGUGCAACUGACGGUACCUGCAGAAUAAGCACCGGCUAACUACGUCAGCAGCCGCGGUAAUACGUAGGGUGCAAGCGUUAAUCGGAAUUACUGGGCGUAAAGCGUGCGCAGGCGGCUCCGAAAGAAAGAUGCAAAUCCGUGAGCUUAACUUUGGAACUGCAUUUUUAACUACCGAGCUAGAGUGGUGUCAGAGGGAGGUGGAAUUCCGCGUGUAGCAGUGAAUGCGGUAGAUAUGCGGAGGAACACCGAUGGCGAAGGCAGCCUCCUGGGAUAACACUGACGCUCAUGCACGAAAGCGUGGGAGCAAACAGGAUUAGAUACCCUGGUAGUUCACGCCCUAAACGAUGUCAACUAGCUGUUAGCUCGCCUUGGUAGCGCAGCGCCAACGCGUUGACCGCCUGGGAGUACGGUCGCAAGAUUAAAAACUCAAAGACUACGGGACCCGCACAAGCGGUGGAUGAUGUGGAUUAAUUCGAUGCAACGCGAAAACUUACCACCUCACAUGUUCCGAAUCCCGAAGAGAUUUGGGAGUGCUCGCAAGAGAACCGGAACACAGGUGCUGCAUGGCUGUCGUCAGCUCGUGUCGAGAUGUUGGGUUAAGUCCCAACGAGCGCAACCCUUGUCAUUAGUUGCUACGAAAGGGCACUCUAAUGAGACUGCCGGUGACAAACCGGAGGAAGGCAUGACGUCAAGUCCCUCAUGGCCCUUAUGGGUAGGGCUUCACACGUCAUACAAUGGUCGGGACAGAGGGUCGCCAACCCGCGAGGGGGAGCCAAUCCCAGAAACCCGAUCGUAGUCCGAUCGCAGUCUGCAACUCGACUGCGUAAGUCGGAAUCGCUAGUAAUCGCGGAUCAGCAUGUCGCGGUGAAUACGUUCCCGGGUCUUGUACACACCGCCCGUCACACCAUGGGAGUGGGUUUUACCAGAAGUAGUUAGCCAGCACCGUAAGGAGGGCGAUUACCACGGUAGGAUUCAUGACUGGGGUGAAGUCGUAACAAGGUAG